RNA transcript from Ostrea edulis (European flat oyster), 3546 nucleotides. RefSeq lists it as uncharacterized. The transcript is spliced from 4 exons. NCBI's taxonomy places the organism in Eukaryota, Metazoa, Mollusca, Bivalvia, Ostreida, Ostreidae. The record is from RefSeq and is a predicted model, not a curated record.
AAAGUAGAAAAUUUUCGUAAACAUCUGGAAAAGAAAAAUGGAUGUAAUCACAAGGAUACUCAACAUGGCAUCGUUAUUAGCAGUGGCGAAAUGCACUAUUGAAUUAAUUAAGUUUUUAAUGUGGGAUGAAUGGUAUUUUUACAGACUGUCGAGCAACGAUACAAUAUCAUGGCCAGGUAGGCACUAGUCCGUUUGUCACCUCCAUCUUCUAACUCAGUAACUGCUGUCUUAAGUCUAGUCUCUCUUGGAGGAUAUUUUCUAUGAUCUUGGUUUACUGUUGCUUUUUGUUGGUCUGCACAGACUGAUGAGUUAUACGAGAUACAAGAAUAAGGUGGAUCUGAUGCCAGUGUCUGGACCAGUGUAUGUCAUCAUUUCAUCACUGACCCUCCUUGCGUUAGUUACAUACUGGCAUCACAUUCCCUCGGUAACAAUCUGGUCCUGGGACAUUUCUUCCUCUCCUUUGCUGCUCCUCUUCUUCAGACUCUUCUAUGCGUUUGCCUGGGGAAUCCUAAUAUUGGAAAAUGUGGUUUACAUUACACAAAGACACAUCCCACAUAUCAAACAGAUCUUUAACCUGAAGGACAAUAUCCAGUCACCUCUUCCUUCCCACCUUGCCAACUUAUGGGAGAGUUUUCCUCACCCUGGCUUAAUCACCUUCACUGUCAUCUUGUGGGUGACUCCGACCUUGACCUUAGAUAGGUGGCUUCUGGCAACAGUUCUCUCCUGGUACAUCUAUGUCCCAAGACGGGUCACAAAAAAGGAUUACAUCUACUUUUGUGAAUGUUAUAAUUAUGUUGAACAUUCUGAAGCACAUCUGUCAUAUUGAAAAUUGGAUUGCAUUUCCCAUCAAUAUAUUUUAGCGAUGCAUACCAUUUGCUGACUGGGUUCAAGGGCAAUAUGUGUUUCGUUGAACAUGAGAACCAACUAGUUCCUGAUCCCAUUACUGGAUCUAGAUAUUGAAAAGCAAUCUCCAAUAACAAUAACAUGUUUUGUUAUACAUAUACAUUAAUUUCCCCAUCUAUAUUUGUUGGCUGUGUGCUGCUUUACUGCAAUGAAAAUAUGUAAAUUCAGUAAUGCCAAGACAGAUCUCCUUUAGAAAUUGCCAUUCAUGCUAACACAACGUAGUGAAUCUUAAUAAUUUAUGUCUCCCCUUCCCAGAAGGGGACAUAUUGUUUUGGUGCGAAUUCUUCUGCUUCUCAGUCUUCCCGGGCCAUAACUUUUUUGUCUUUUGACAUAGGCCUUUGAUAUUUGGUACAUGUAUACCAUAAUAAGACAGUGUCGCGUACCAUUUUUGAUGACCUUUGAGGUAAAGGUCAAAUAUAAUUUUUGGGCAAUUUGUCCAGAUAUAACUUUUUUUGUCUUUUGACGUAGGCCUUUGAUAUUUGGUAUACAAUGAUAAUUACUGUGUCGCGUGCCAUUUUUGAUUACCCUUGACCUUUUAUGUGAAGAUCAUAUAAUAGAACUUUUUUUAUUGUUUGGACUAUAACUUUUUUGUCUUUAGACAUAGUCCUUUAAUAUUUUGAUAUAUCAUGAUAAGACAGUAUGCUGCACGUCAUUUUCGAUUACCUUUAAAAUGAAAUAAGCAUAUAUACGUAUAGUAUUCUUUACAGUGUUCUGUAUCAUUUAGUUCAGCUCCAACAAUCUUGAUAUUGGAGUACACCUCAGUGCCCAUGUGUCGUCAGUAUUCAUAACCCCUGACUAGGUUAAAUGUUCCUAUCUCAGCCACGUACUACUAGUAUUUGACAAACCUGAAUUUCACCCCCACCCCCCCCAAAAUGGGUCACUGUUGUCUGCAUUUAACUAUCAAUCCACUGAGGCUAAUGUAACGGUUAGGCCUCUGAAACUGUCAAGUCGUAAGUUCCAUUUACCAUCAUGUGUUCACAACACUACCAUGAAGCAAAUAUACAUAUACCUGUAGGUAACUGGUAUGUACCAUAACUCGUAAUUUUCUACUUUAAAGAUGAUCCUUAAAAAAUAUUUGAAAAACUAUGGAAAAUGAAAGGGGAUAUCGAGACAUCAGUUUUAGUGUGCCAAAAGAAUUCUUCCUGGUUUUUCAUUGAUUAAUCAGCCAAUCUAACUGAGUAUAAUAUUAAUAAUAUUGAACCCAGUCGCUAGUGACCAUUUUCAGUGAAAACGUCUUGAUUGUCGGACAUUUCAUUACACAGCUCUAAAAAGGUGAGGGGUAUGAUAUAACAAAGUCAAUUUCUGAAACGUUGAAUAUGCAAUGUCACUCAGUUGGAAAUGAAUAGACAAUAAUACACAUAUAUAUACAGUAGAGAAUAUAUAUACACAUUAUACAAGACUCUACUCCAGCUAGCUAGAGUUUCCAUGGUGAUACUGUAAUGCUAUGCUAUCAUAAUAUAUAUUUAAUUCUUAUCAUAUAUACAAGUAUAUUUAUUUUCCUAUUUCACUUUUACCUAUACAUGUAUAUAUAUAUAUAUAUUUGAUAUUGUAUUAUAUUAUAUGAGAAGCAUGGGGACGUUGACAGAGGAGUACUCGAGACAUCAAUAUCAGCCCAAGAGCCAUACAUGUAUACUAGUACAAGGUCUGAUAUGGAAACCAUAAUUUAUAUAUAACUAUAUACAAGCAUGUAUAAUAAGCAAGUAUAACAUUGUAUCAUGGUUGUGGCAUUUUUCCUAUUAUAAAAAGUGUACAAUAACUGGAGAUACACCAGUGGGCGGAACCAUCAUUUGCAUAUUUUUUUUUAAAACUGUGCUGUGUAAAUAAAUUAUUGAACACCACCUGACAAUUUUAACACAUGGUGAAGUUCAAAUCAGAAUUCACGAGAUCUAGUGUCGAUAUCCAUUUUAUCAUCUCCCAGUUUAAUUUCACGAAAUGGGAGAUCAUCACAUGCUUGUGAGAAAAUCAUUGAACAAAAACUGUACACCCAAAUCGCCAAUGUUCACUGUAGUUGAGGUGCUCUGAUCAGACACAUUAAGCACAACCAUCCUCACCAACUAUCGGGUGAUUAGUGUGCGAUGAACAUGCAUGGCAGGAAGAGGAAAAUGCCCAAGCGAUGAUCACCUGACAAAAACUUACCUUUUCAUUAGGAUAAUUUUAAAAAAUCAUGCAAUAGCCACAGGUCACAUGACAGAUAUUAUAUUUCUAAUUGGUCAUGAUACAAGUAAGUUAUUGAAUAUCUAUUUCGAUGUAUCUUGUUUUAUUUGGACGAAGGGAAGAGACUCGUGCUUUGCACUCGUAACAGCCCUUUGUCCAAAUAAAUCAAGAUACGCCAAAAUAAAUUUACAAUAACUAUAACUUGUAAAAUGUAGGAGUUCAAUAUCCAUAUCCUUCUAAUUUCUUAUUAAGGUGGACUCAACGACUGGUGUUAUUCCACAUAUACACUGUAUGUGUAACUGUUUUUAAUGAAAUAUUUCAUGAAGACAUGAAAUUGUGCUCAGAGCCUCGAAUGAUAUUAAACUUAUGAAUGUUUUCACGUUAAUGAAAUCUACAAUUAGAGACAUUGUACAACUGUAUACGUAAGAUAUACAUAUUGCACAUGCUUGUAUUGUAAUGUAAAGUAUAUUAAAAAAUGACACCAGAGAA